RNAcentral lists this ribosomal RNA (542 nucleotides) under uncultured bacterium. Its description in RNAcentral is "partial 16S ribosomal RNA". It matches the Rfam family "Bacterial small subunit ribosomal RNA", at positions 355 to 888 of the family's 1533-position model. The record is from RNAcentral.
UGGGGAAUUUUGGACAAUGGGCGAAAGCCUGAUCCAGCAAUGCCGCGUGUGUGAAGAAGGCCUUCGGGUUGUAAAGCACUUUUGUCCGGAAAGAAAUCCUUGGCUCUAAUACAGUCGGGGGAUGACGGUACCGGAAGAAUAAGCACCGGCUAACUACGUGCCAGCAGCCGCGGUAAUACGUAGGGUGCAAGCGUUAAUCGGAAUUACUGGGCGUAAAGCGUGCGCAGGCGGUUUGCUAAGACCGAUGUGAAAUCCCCGGGCUCAACCUGGGAACUGCAUUGGUGACUGGCAGGCUAGAGUAUGGCAGAGGGGGGUAGAAUUCCACGUGUAGCAGUGAAAUGCGUAGAGAUGUGGAGGAAUACCGAUGGCGAAGGCAGCCCCCUGGGCCAAUACUGACGCUCAUGCACGAAAGCGUGGGGAGCAAACAGGAUUCAGAUACCCUGGUAGUCCACGCCCUAAAACGAUGUCAACUAGUUGUUGGGGAUUCAUUUCCUUAGUAACGUAGCUAACGCGUGAAGUUGACCGCCUGGGGAGUACGGUCG